UACAGAGGUCUCGAGCGUUAGUCGGAAUCACUGGGCUUAAAGCGUACGUAGGCGGACAUGCGAGCGUCGUGUGAAAUCCCCCGGCCUCAACCGGGGAACUGCACGGCGAACCGCAUGUCUUGAGACAAGUAGGGGCUGUCGGAACGAUAGGUGGAGUGGUGAAAUGCGUUGAUAUCUAUCGGAACGCCGAAGGUGAAGACAGGCAGCUGGGCUUGUUCUGACGCUGAUGUACGAAAGCGUGGGUAGCGAACGGG
This 254-nucleotide ribosomal RNA is filed under the name uncultured bacterium. RNAcentral describes it as "partial 16S ribosomal RNA". It matches the Rfam family "Bacterial small subunit ribosomal RNA", at positions 524 to 776 of the family's 1533-position model. The record is from RNAcentral.